Lycium barbarum (goji berry) is the source of this 1361-nucleotide long non-coding RNA. RefSeq lists it as uncharacterized. The transcript has 2 exons. NCBI's taxonomy places the organism in Eukaryota, Viridiplantae, Streptophyta, Magnoliopsida, Solanales, Solanaceae. The record is from RefSeq and is a predicted model, not a curated record.
AUCCUCUCUAAUAAGUUGUUCCCGUGGUGCUCCUAACUUGUUUUUGGGAUUUGAUCCGGUUAAGGAAAAAUACAAAUUGCUUCAUUUUGUUUUACUCCAUAUAGCUCAACUAGAUCAAGAUUCUAACUCUAGGAACCAACUCCAGGAGAGAAAUAGAAUUAAUCCAGGAAAUGCCUUUUCCCAGUUAUUUUGCAAGGGAUUGUCUGCUCCUCAAUGGACUACUUUUUUGGAGGAGUACUUCAUUUGACAGUAAUAUCGACUACUUUGACUUCAUAGAGGAGAAGUUUGGGUUUCUUUCACCCCCAGAAGGAAGGAGUUUUUUCCCUCCUAAUAGGCCACAAACAACAUUGUGGGGAAAGCUGGUUUGGUGUUGGUCCUACUUUGGGAAAAAAUAUAAUGUGCGCAACUCCUAUUUCAUGUCUGAUGAUGACGUUAACAAUGUUUUUAUGAAAUUUAACCUUGACGAUUCCAAUUUAAAGAAGGCUGCCUUGCUUGAAGCAGAAUCGAGUACUGACAAGCCAAAGUUUGUUUUAGCGACAGCAAGCCUUAUUAGUGCCCCAGCUACUCUGGUGUUCCCCAAUCAUUUGUCGUUAAGACAUGUUAGCAGUUUUAUUGAGAACAUUACCCCAUUAACGUCUAUUAUUGAGGUUUAACUUUGAAAAUCAAUGUGGUGAUUCUCCUUAGCACUAGUGGAUUAAAUGGAGGUAGAUAUAUGGUCUCUAUAGAUAUGUGGUUAUGGACCUCCAUGGUGGUACAUGCUAUAUCAAAUAGUCUUCCUAUCUCAUGUUUGUCAGUCUUGGACCUACUUUCCCUAUUUUUGAUUACGGAACUCUGCCUUCACUCAGCUCUAAGUUAAUGAUUUUUUUUUUUUUGGGAACCUGCAGUCACUACCCUUCGGGUGCGCACAGGGCAAACCUUAAGUUAAUGAUUACAGCUCGCUUUCUCAUGAUUGUGAUUCCAACUGGAAGUGCCAGUGCUGAGUUUGUGUUUAUAACUUCAAUACUGAAAUGGGAUCAACAAUAAAUUCUACAUCUUCGUCUGGGGACUUCUUAUGAAACAGUAUACGGUGACAGAUUAUGAUGGUUCUGCCUAUAUGGGGUUGAAGUUCAAGAAAGUUGGUCAUGCUAGUUAAGAGAAAAUGGUGUCGAUGUGUCAUCUGAUUACCCUCAAGCAGUGGGAAGCUUAGAAUGGGAGAUGAUGCAAAUUAUUAACUCAGAUCUCUUUUCUGUUCCUUAUGACUAAUAGGGCCUAAAUUUUAUGUGGGACAUGUUGCUAAUGAAUGGAUGGCUUGUUAUGAUGGCAUGCGUAUUUUGUACUGUUAUCUUCCUCAAUAUGAAUGCAUAUUAGAUCCUUGUGUUCUA